GGCCCCGCACAAGCGGCGGAGCACGCGGUUUAAUUCGAGGAUACGCGAAGAACCUUACCAAGGCUUGAAAUCUAGUGGGCGAACUAUAGAAAUAUGGUUUUUCCCUCACGGGACUGCUAGACAGGUGGUGCAUGGUCGUCGUCAGCUCGUGUCGUGAGAUGUUGGGUUAAGUCCCGCAACGAGCGCAACCCUUGUCUUAUGUUACUAACAUUCAGUUGAGGACUCAUAAGAGACUGCCAGAGACAAUCUGGAGGAAGGUGGGGACGAAGUCAGGUCAUCAUGCCCCUUAUGUCCUUGGGCUACACGCAUGCUACAAUGGGUAAUACAAAGAGUCGCGAUACUGUAAAGUGGAGCUAAUCUCAAAAAGUUAUUCUCAGUUCGGAUUGAGGUCUGCAACUCGACCUCAUGAAGCCGGAGUCGCUAGUAAUCGUGAAUCAGCAAUGUCA
RNAcentral lists this ribosomal RNA (446 nucleotides) under uncultured Actinomycetes bacterium. Its description in RNAcentral is "bacterial SSU rRNA". It matches the Rfam family "Bacterial small subunit ribosomal RNA", at positions 917 to 1359 of the family's 1533-position model. Lineage: Bacteria; Bacillati; Actinomycetota; Actinomycetes. The record is from RNAcentral.